UCACCUCCCAGGUUCACACGCAACCUUCGCUCGUCUCCUUGUUUCUCUCCUCCGCCUCUUCCUCCGGGUGUACUUGCGGCUGCAGUGGGAUGGGAGUAAAGGGGGCGAGCAGGAUGGGUGGCCAGCUGAUUUCUUCGAAGGAUCUGGAGCCCAGGGGCGACGCCGGUGAGUAACCAACCAGUUUCUCAAUCCUUCUUCCCAUCCACUUCUGAUAUGUCAUUAUGCCCAUCUUGCGGAGGACCGGGAGUGGGGGCGAUGGCCAGGCCUGGUGGUGACGGGACGAUUUAGUGGUCGGAGGCGCUGCAUCGGAUGCCAGUCAGUCUGCAACGACGCCGCGCUCGUCGCCGCCGUCGACUCCAGCGCCAGUGUGCCCCUAGGCACCUCCCGCGCCAAGGGAAGAGAUGUGAAAUGCUCAACUUAGGAGGGAGCAUAGACAAGGAAUCUGACGUUGGAAAGAAACAACUGGAUAUCAAAGCAAAAGGAUCACGUCUCCUCUUAGAAAUCAGCUAACUAUUCUAAUUCUGGAGACUCUUAUGGCCCUAGAUCUGCCAGGCAGUUGCAAUUGUUGUUUUAGUCAAACUAAAAAAAUGUUAACUUUGCAGUGUAAGCGGACCCUUUAGCAGGAGAGCAACACAACUGCUAGCUUCCCUGCGGCAGUACAGGAGAUGGAUACGAAGUCCUUGGAGGGUCAGAAUACAAAGCUCUACUAGGUGAUGGAGCUGGAGAAGUUGAGUACUUCCAGUCUCUUGACGAACGAAUCAUUAAAAUGAAGGGAGUUUCUGAUCCUAUUAAAUGUCAUUGCGGACUGGAGUACAAUGUAGAACUAGGCAGGGAUGCCAUGGGUGCAAGAUGAACUCACUAUAUAGAUGACCACAGGUCCAGUGUGUUUAAAGUAUGCAUAUGUGCGGCUGCCGUAUGUACAGCUGGACAACUCCACAUAGAGAAACUGGAUAAAGUGCCAGUGCCGCAGGAGCAAAACAGCGCCCCGGAUGAAGCCAACACGGACGACAAUUAACUUCUCUGACCUUAAUCACAUUAAUGAGUGAACUUUCUUGUAAUCCUUUUUCCUGACAUUAUAAGGCAAUGGCUUAGCCUGAUAUUUUGGUAGUUGUGUAACUUGAAACAUGAUGCUAAGCCGAACAAUUUAUUGUCCUUUUUCCGCAUGAUAUCACAUUUUGGUAGUUGCAAAGCCUAAACUAUGAUGUUUUUGCUACUGCUGUAGUCCCUAAUGAAAUUGUGAGAUAAUGUAGUUAAGCUAAGUUUCUUUUGUUUCAAUAAAACAGAUGUUGGUAGUUGCAUAAGUUGAACCAUGAUGCUUGUUAAGCUAAUCUCAUUGAUUGCACUCCCAAAAAUCACAGGAGCCAUUCAGAAAAAGAUUAGUAGAGUUCUUUACUGUUGAAAUUUCUGAGGGGAUUUAUGGAAGGUUUGUUUAUCUCUCCUCCCAUUCCGAAUUUCAGUUUAACAUUUCUAGCACUGGC
Triticum dicoccoides is the source of this 1478-nucleotide long non-coding RNA. RefSeq lists it as uncharacterized. NCBI's taxonomy places the organism in Eukaryota, Viridiplantae, Streptophyta, Magnoliopsida, Poales, Poaceae. The record is from RefSeq and is a predicted model, not a curated record. The transcript is spliced from 6 exons.